CCCCUCUGGCAAUGGCAAAGAGACAACUUGGUGGUGGUUUUCUUAUAUAGGUCAAGGGCAGAGCAGAUGGCAGUCCUUUGUUCAUCCUAGCUUGAUGCCUGGCUUGGUGGCCAAAGAUGGUUUAUGCCUAGGACACAUAA
Small nucleolar RNA from Mus caroli (Ryukyu mouse), 140 nucleotides. RefSeq annotates it as small nucleolar RNA SNORA48. Lineage: Eukaryota; Metazoa; Chordata; Mammalia; Rodentia; Muridae. The record is from RefSeq and is a predicted model, not a curated record.